RNAcentral lists this ribosomal RNA (467 nucleotides) under uncultured bacterium. Its description in RNAcentral is "partial 16S ribosomal RNA". It matches the Rfam family "Bacterial small subunit ribosomal RNA", at positions 28 to 506 of the family's 1533-position model. The record is from RNAcentral.
GACGAACGCUGGCGGCGUGCUUAACACAUGCAAGUCGAACGGAAAGGCCCUGCUUUUGUGGGGUGCUCGAGUGGCGAACGGGUGAGUAACACGUGAGUAACCUGCCCUUGACUUUGGGAUAACUUCAGGAAACUGGGGCUAAUACCGGAUAGGAGCUCCUGCUGCAUGGUGGGGGUUGGAAAGUUUCGGCGGUUGGGGAUGGACUCGCGGCUUAUCAGCUUGUUGGUGGGGUAGUGGCUUACCAAGGCUUUGACGGGUAGCCGGCCUGAGAGGGUGACCGGCCACAUUGGGACUGAGAGACGGCCCAGACGCCUACGGGAGGCAGCAGUGGGGAAUAUUGCACAAUGGGCGGAAGCCUGAUGCAGCAACGCCGCGUGCGGGAUGACGGCCUUCGGGUUGUAAACCGCUUUCGCCUGUGACGAAGCGUGAGUGACGGUAAUGGGGAAAGAAGCACCGGCUAACUACGU